UGGACUGGUGGCGCGGUUCAUGCCGGCGGCGGCCCCGGUCGCGCGGGCGUUCGAAAAGGUGUCCGGCCGGACGUUCCCCGCGUUCAGGCCCAA
RNAcentral lists this transfer RNA (93 nucleotides) under Mycolicibacterium parafortuitum. RNAcentral describes it as "tRNA-Gly". The record is from RNAcentral. Lineage: Bacteria; Bacillati; Actinomycetota; Actinomycetes; Mycobacteriales; Mycobacteriaceae.